GUAUGGGGCAAGCGUUAUCCGGAUUUACUGGGUGUAAAGGGAGCGUAGACGGNAGUGCAAGUCUGAAGUGAAAGCCCGGGGCUCAACCCCGUGACUGCUUUGGAAACUGUGCUUCUAGAGUGUCGGAGAGGUAAGCGGAAUUCCUAGUGUAGCGGUGAAAUGCGUGGAUAUUAGGAGGAACCCCGAUNGCGAAGGCAGCUUCCNAGGCUCGUUCUGACGCUGAUGCNCGAGAGCGUGGGUAGCGAACAGGAUUAGAUACCCUGGUAGUCCACGCCGUAAACGAUGACUACUAGGUGUCGGGCAGCAAAGCUGUUCGGUGCCGCAGCAAACGCAAUAAGUAGUCCACCUGGGGAGUACGUUCGCAAGAAUGAAACUCAA
This 378-nucleotide ribosomal RNA is filed under the name uncultured bacterium. RNAcentral's name for it is "bacterial SSU rRNA". It matches the Rfam family "Bacterial small subunit ribosomal RNA", at positions 527 to 904 of the family's 1533-position model. The record is from RNAcentral.